This 253-nucleotide ribosomal RNA is filed under the name uncultured bacterium. RNAcentral's name for it is "partial 16S ribosomal RNA". It matches the Rfam family "Bacterial small subunit ribosomal RNA", at positions 524 to 776 of the family's 1533-position model. The record is from RNAcentral.
UACGGGGGGGGUAAGCGUUGUUCGGAAUUACUGGGCGUAAAGGGCUCGUAGGCGGCCAACUAAGUCAGACGUGAAAUCCCUCAGCUUAACUGGGGAACUGCGUCUGAUACUGGAUGGCUUGGAUUCGGGAGAGGAAUGCGGAAUUCCAGGUGUAGCGGUGAAAUUCGUAGAUAUUCGGAGGAACGCCGGUGGCGAAAGCGGCGUGCUGGACCCUUUCUGACGCUGAGGCGCGAAAGCCAGGGGAGCAAACGGG